CGCGAAAUCCGGUUGAUCCUGCCGGAGGCUACCGCUAUUGGAGUUCGAUUAAGCCAUGCGAGUCGCGAGACUUAGAAUCUCGGCGUACCGCUCAGUAACACGUGGGUAACCUGCCCUAUGCUAGGGGAUAACCUCGGGAAACUGAGAAUAAUACCCUAUAGUUCACCACGCCUGGAACGGUGGGUGGAUGAAAGCUCCGGCGGCAUAGGAUGGGCCUGCGGCGUAUCAGGUCGUAGGGGGUGUAACGUACCCUCUAGCCAUCAACGCGUACGGGUGUUGGGAGACAUAGCCCGGAGAUGGAUUCUGAGACACGAAUCCAGACCCUACGGGGUGCAGCAGGCGCGAAAACUUGGCAAUGCGAGCAAUCGUGACCAGGGAACUCCAAGUGGCUGGGGUAAUACCCAGUUUUUUCUUGACUCUUCAAAGGUCUUGGAAUAAGGGGUGGGUAAGGACGGUGCCAGCCGCCGCGGUAAUACCGGCGCCUCAAGUGGUAGUCGCUUUUAUUGGGCCUAAAACGUCCGUAGCCGGUCUGGUGCAUUCGUGGGUAAAUCAACCCGCUCAACGGGUUGAAUUCUGCGAGCACGGCCAGACUUGGGACCGGGAGAGGUGUGGGGUACUCUCAGGGUAGGGGUAAAAUCCUGUCAUCCUGAGAGGACCACCUGUUGCGAAGGCGCCACACUAGAACGGAUCCGACGGUCAGGGACGAAACCUAGGGGCACGAACCGGAUUAGAUACCCGGGUAGUCCUAGGUGUAAACGCUGUGGACUUGAUGUUGGGAGCGCUCCGAGCGCCCUCAGUGUCGAAGCGAAGGUGAUAAGUCCACUGCCUGGGGAGUACGGUCGCAAGGCUGAAACUUAAAGGAAUUGGCGGGGGAGCACUGCAACCUGAGGAUUGUGCGGUUUAAUUGGAUUCAACGCCGGAAAACUCACCAUAGCCGACGGACAAAUGAAGGCCAGCGUAACGAGCUUGCUGGAUUGUUCGAGAGGUAUUGCAUGGCCGUCGUCAGUUCGUACCGCAAGGCGUUCUGUUAAGUCAGAUAACGAACGAGACCCUCGUCCCUAUUUGCCAAGGUCUGUCCGCAGAUCACGGGACUAUAGGGAGACCGCUGGCGCGAAGUCAGAGGAAGGUGCAGGCUACGGUAGGUCUGUAUGCUCCGAAUCUGCUGGGCUACACGCGCGCAACAAUGGUAAAGACAAUGGGAUGCGACACCGAAAGGUGAAGCUAAACCUCGAAACUUCAUCCAAGUCUAGAUUGUGGAUUGUAAUUCAUCCUCAUGACAACGGAAUCCCUAGUAAUCGGGUUUCAUCACGACCCGGUGAAUAUGUCCCUGCUCCUUGCACACACCGCCCGUCAAACCAACCGAGUUAUGUAGGGGUGAAGCCCUUUUUGGGAAGAACCUUUUCACGACAAGGUAGGUUAAGUCGUCACAAGGUAUCUGUAGGGGAACCUGCAGAUGGAUCACCUCCUAA
Molecule: ribosomal RNA, 1469 nt
Filed under: Dehalococcoidia bacterium
Lineage: Bacteria; Bacillati; Chloroflexota; Dehalococcoidia
Description: bacterial SSU rRNA
Rfam family: Archaeal small subunit ribosomal RNA
Source: RNAcentral